RNAcentral lists this ribosomal RNA (253 nucleotides) under uncultured bacterium. RNAcentral's name for it is "partial 16S ribosomal RNA". It matches the Rfam family "Bacterial small subunit ribosomal RNA", at positions 524 to 776 of the family's 1533-position model. The record is from RNAcentral.
UACGUAGGGGGCAAGCGUUGUCCGGAAUCAUUGGGCGUAAAGAGCGUGUAGGCGGCUCGGUAAGUCCGCUGUGAAAGUCCAGGGCUCAACCCUGGAAUGCCGGUGGAAACUGUCGAGCUAGAGUCCGGAAGAGGCGAGUGGAAUCCCUGGUGUAGCGGUGAAAUGCGCAGAUAUCAGGAGGAACACCAAUGGCGAAGGCAGCUCGCUGGGACGGUACUGACGCUGAGACGCGAAAGCGUGGGGAGCAAACAGG